CUUGCUCUUGAGAUUUAGUGGCAAACGGGUGAGUAAUAUAAAGGAAUCUACCUAACAGUACGGAAUAACUUUGGGAAACCAAUGCUAAUACCGUAUAUUACCAUUUAUGGGAAAGAUUUAUCGCUGUUAGAUGAGCCUUUAUCAGAUUAGCUUGUUGGUGGGGUAAUGGCCUACCAAGGCAAUGAUCUGUAGCUGGUCUGAGAGGAUGAUCAGCCACACUGGAACUGAGACACGGUCCAGACUCC
Molecule: ribosomal RNA, 245 nt
Filed under: uncultured bacterium
Lineage: Bacteria
Description: partial 16S ribosomal RNA
Rfam family: Bacterial small subunit ribosomal RNA
Source: RNAcentral